RNAcentral lists this ribosomal RNA (464 nucleotides) under Streptococcus sanguinis. RNAcentral describes it as "bacterial SSU rRNA". It matches the Rfam family "Bacterial small subunit ribosomal RNA", at positions 28 to 474 of the family's 1533-position model. The record is from RNAcentral. Lineage: Bacteria; Bacillati; Bacillota; Bacilli; Lactobacillales; Streptococcaceae.
GACGAACGCUGGCGGCGUGCCUAAUACAUGCAAGCAGAACGCUGGAGAGAGGAGCUUGCUCUUCUUGGAUGAGUUGCGAACGGGUGAGUAACGCGUAGGUAACCUGCCUGGUAGCGGGGGAUGACUAUUGGAAACGAUAGCUAAUACCGCAUAAAAUUGAUUAUUGCAUGAUAAUUAAUUGAAAGAUGCAAUUGCAUCACUACCAGAUGGACCUGCGUUGUAUUAGCUAGUUGGUGAGGUAACGGCUCACCAAGGCGACGAUACAUAGCCGACCUGAGAGGGUGAUCGGCCACACUGGGACUGAGACACGGCCCAGACUCCUACGGGAGGCAGCAGUAGGGAAUCUUCGGCAAUGGGGGGAACCCUGACCGAGCAACGCCGCGUGAGUGAAGAAGGUUUUCGGAUCGUAAAGCUCUGUUGUAAGAGAAGAACGGGUGUGAGAGUGGAAAGUUCACACUGCGACG